GCUAGCGUAGCUUAACUAAAGCAUAACUCUGAAGAAGUUAAGAUAAACCUCAGAAGGGUUUCGCAGGCA
RNAcentral lists this transfer RNA (69 nucleotides) under Starksia nanodes (dwarf blenny). RNAcentral describes it as "tRNA-Phe". Lineage: Eukaryota; Metazoa; Chordata; Actinopteri; Blenniiformes; Labrisomidae. The record is from RNAcentral.